GGACCCGCACAAGCGGUGGAGCAUGUGGUUUAAUUCGAAGCAACGCGAAGAACCUUACCAAGUCUUGACAUCGGAAUGACCGUCCCGUAACUGGGGCGUUCCCUUCGGGGCAUUCCAGACAGGUGGUGCAUGGUUGUCGUCAGCUCGUGUCGUGAGAUGUUGGGUUAAGUCCCGCAACGAGCGCAACCCUUAUCCUUAGUAGCCAGCAGUUCGGCUGGGCACUCUGGGGAGACUGCCAGGGAUAACCUGGAGGAAGGUGGGGAUGACGUCAAAUCAUCAUGCCCCUUAUGAUUUGGGCUACACACGUGCUACAAUGGCGUAAACAAAGGGAAGCGAAGGAGUGAUCUGGAGCAAAUCUCAAAAAUAACGUCUCAGUUCGGAUUGUAGUCUGCAACUCGACUACAUGAAGCUGGAAUCGCUAGUAAUCGCGGAUCAGAAUGCCGCGGUGAAUACGUUCCCGGGUCUUGUACACACCGCCCGUCACACCAUGGGAGUUGGUAACGCCCGAAGUCAGUGACCCAACCGUAAGGAGGGAGCUGCCGAAGGCGGGACUGAUAACUGGGGUGAAGUCGUAACAAGGUAGCCGUAUCGGAAGGUGCGGCU
Molecule: ribosomal RNA, 603 nt
Filed under: uncultured bacterium
Lineage: Bacteria
Description: bacterial SSU rRNA
Rfam family: Bacterial small subunit ribosomal RNA
Source: RNAcentral